RNAcentral lists this unclassified non-coding RNA (350 nucleotides) under soil metagenome. Its description in RNAcentral is "partial contains 5.8S ribosomal RNA, internal transcribed spacer 2, and large subunit ribosomal RNA". The stretch from base 1 to 120 matches the Rfam family "5.8S ribosomal RNA", at positions 35 to 154 of the family's 154-position model. The record is from RNAcentral.
GAUGAAGAACGCAGCGAAAUGCGAUAAGUAAUGUGAACUGCAGAAUUCAGUGAAUCAUCGAAUCUUUGAACGCACAUUGCGCCCGCCAGUAUUCUGGCGGGCAUGCCUGUCCGAGCGUCAUUUCAACCCUCGAACCCCUCCGGGGGGUCGGCGUUGGGGAUCGGCCCUUUACGGGGCCGGCCCCGAAAUACAGUGGCGGUCUCGCCGCAGCCUCUCCUGCGCAGUAGUUUGCACACUCGCAUCGGGAGCGCGGCGCGUCCACAGCCGUUAAACACCCCAAACUUCUGAAAUGUUGACCUCGGAUCAGGUAGGAAUACCCGCUGAACUUAAGCAUAUCAAUAAGCGGAGGA